UACGAAGGGUGCAAGCGUUACUCGGAAUUACUGGGCGUAAAGCGUGCGUAGGUGGUUUGUUAAGUCUGAUGUGAAAGCCCUGGGCUCAACCUGGGAACGGCAUUGGAAACUGGCUUACUAGAGUGCGGUAGAGGGAAGUGGAAUUUCCGGUGUAGCGGUGAAAUGCGUAGAUAUCGGAAGGAACAUCAGUGGCGAAAGCGACUUCCUGGACCAAUACUGACGCUCAUGUGCGAAAGCGUGGGGAGCAAACAGG
This 253-nucleotide ribosomal RNA is filed under the name uncultured bacterium. RNAcentral's name for it is "partial 16S ribosomal RNA". It matches the Rfam family "Bacterial small subunit ribosomal RNA", at positions 524 to 776 of the family's 1533-position model. The record is from RNAcentral.